Molecule: ribosomal RNA, 465 nt
Filed under: uncultured bacterium
Lineage: Bacteria
Description: bacterial SSU rRNA
Rfam family: Bacterial small subunit ribosomal RNA
Source: RNAcentral
UGCCAGACUCCUACGGGAGGCAGCAGUGAGGAAUAUUGGUCAAUGGUCGGGAGACUGAACCAGCCAAGCCGCGUGAGGGAGGAAGGUACAGAGUAUCGUAAACCUCUUUUGUCAGGGAACAAAGGCGGGGACGUGUCCCCGGAUGAGUGUACCUGAAGAAAAAGCAUCGGCUAACUCCGUGCCAGCAGCCGCGGUAAUACGGAGGAUGCGAGCGUUAUCCGGAUUUAUUGGGUUUAAAGGGUGCGCAGGCGGGCUGUUAAGCCGGCGGUAAAAAUUCAGGGCUCAACCCUGUCGAGCCGUCGGAACUGGCAGUCUUGAGUGGGCGAGAAGUGCGCGGAAUGCGUGGUGUAGCGGUGAAAUGCAUAGAUAUCACGCAGAACUCCGAUUGCGAAGGCAGCGCACCGGCGCCCUACUGACGCUCAGGCACGAAAGCGUGGGUAUCGAACAGGAUUAGAUACCCGCGUA